This 1086-nucleotide ribosomal RNA is filed under the name uncultured bacterium. Its description in RNAcentral is "bacterial SSU rRNA". It matches the Rfam family "Bacterial small subunit ribosomal RNA", at positions 9 to 1085 of the family's 1533-position model. The record is from RNAcentral.
GAGUUUGAUCCUGGCUCAGGACGAACGCUAGCGGCGUGCCUAAGCUAUGCAAGUCGAGCGGGGUUUCAGAGUCGAGUUUCCUUCGGGAGACAAAGCACUGAAACCUAGCGGCGAACGGGUGAGUAACACGUGAGCAACCUACCCCGUUGUCCGGGAUAACAGACCGAAAGGCCUGCUAAUACCGGAUACGAAGCUCCUUCGCAUGUUGGAGCUUGGAAAGGGGCAACCCGCAAUAGGAGGGGCUUACGGCCUAUCAGCUAGUUGGUGAGGUAACGGCCCACCAAGGCGACGACGGGUAGCCGACCUGAGAGGGUGACCGGCCACACUGGGACUGAGACACGGCCCAGACUCCUACGGGAGGCAGCAAGCGGGAAUCUUGCACAAUGGGCGCAAGCCUGAUGCAGCGACGCCGCGUGAGGGAUGAAGGCCUUCGGGUCGUAAACCUCUGUUGAUGGGGACGAAGAUCUGACGGUACCCAUCGAGGAAGCCCCGGCUAACUCCGUGCCAGCAGCCGCGGUAAUACGGAGGGGGCAAGCGUUGUCCGGAUUUACUGGGCGUAAAGAGCGCGUAGGCGGUCCAUUAAGUCGGCUGUGAAAUCGCUGGGCUUAACCCAGCAAUGUCAGUCGAUACUGGUGGACUUGAGUCCGGGAGAGGGAAGUGGAAUUGCUGGUGUAGCGGUGGAAUGCGUAGAUAUCAGCAAGAACACCAGUGGGCGAAGGCGGCUUCCUGGACCGGUACUGACGCUGAGGCGCGAAAGCUAGGGGAGCGAACGGGAUUAGAUACCCCGGUAGUCCUAGCCGUAAACGAUGGUCACUAGGUGUUGCGGGUAUCGACCCCUGCAGUGCCGAAGCUAACGCGAUAAGUGACCCGCCUGGGGAGUACGGCCGCAAGGCUGAAACUCAAAGGAAUUGACGGGGCCCCGCACAAGCGGUGGAGCAUGUGGCUCAAUUCGAGGCUACGCGAAGAACCUUACCAGGGCUUGACAUCCGCGGAACCCUGCCGAAAAGCGGGGGUGCCCUUCGGGGAGCCGCGAGACAGGUGGUGCAUGGCUGUCGUCAGCUCGUGUCGUGAGAUGUUGGGUUAAGU